CUCUGUCCUGUGCCAGUGUAGGGAUGUGCCAUGAACACUACAGCACUCAGCUGCUUCCAGCCUGUGGAAUAACUGAUGGAUAACACAAGAGAGGAGUCCCUGGGAGUGGGAUCUCCUCUGCAGGACCAAGAGGCAGAUUUAAACUCCCUGCUGAAUGGUGCUGGCCAGGAAAGCCAUUUGACAGUAUCUACUGCUCAGUAUUCAGCACAUCAGCAAGCCCCAGGUUUUUUUAUUCAUUCUGGAAGAGGAGAAUGACUGUUCCACACUACCCUGUGUUUGCAGGUUUGUAUCUGUUCAGGGCCAAAGGGACAUGAGCACAAACUCUGCGAGGUUUGUUUAUAUGGGUUGUCUGAGCACAGGCAGUGCUUUGGUGAAAUAACUGCUUUUCAGCUCUUUGUCUCAAGCCUCACUUUCAAA
This 417-nucleotide long non-coding RNA is filed under the name Parus major (Great Tit). RNAcentral's name for it is "lncRNA (ENSPMJG00000010343.1)". The record is from RNAcentral. Lineage: Eukaryota; Metazoa; Chordata; Aves; Passeriformes; Paridae.